Molecule: ribosomal RNA, 731 nt
Filed under: Escherichia coli
Lineage: Bacteria; Pseudomonadati; Pseudomonadota; Gammaproteobacteria; Enterobacterales; Enterobacteriaceae
Description: partial 23S ribosomal RNA
Rfam family: Bacterial large subunit ribosomal RNA
Source: RNAcentral
UACCGUGAGGGAAAGGCGAAAAGAACCCCGGCGAGGGGAGUGAAAAAGAACCUGAAACCGUGUACGUACAAGCAGUGGGAGCACGCUUAGGCGUGUGACUGCGUACCUUUUGUAUAAUGGGUCAGCGACUUAUAUUCUGUAGCAAGGUUAACCGAAUAGGGGAGCCGAAGGGAAACCGAGUCUUAACUGGGCGUUAAGUUGCAGGGUAUAGACCCGAAACCCGGUGAUCUAGCCAUGGGCAGGUUGAAGGUUGGGUAACACUAACUGGAGGACCGAACCGACUAAUGUUGAAAAAUUAGCGGAUGACUUGUGGCUGGGGGUGAAAGGCCAAUCAAACCGGGAGAUAGCUGGUUCUCCCCGAAAGCUAUUUAGGUAGCGCCUCGUGAAUUCAUCUCCGGGGGUAGAGCACUGUUUCGGCAAGGGGGUCAUCCCGACUUACCAACCCGAUGCAAACUGCGAAUACCGGAGAAUGUUAUCACGGGAGACACACGGCGGGUGCUAACGUCCGUCGUGAAGAGGGAAACAACCCAGACCGCCAGCUAAGGUCCCAAAGUCAUGGUUAAGUGGGAAACGAUGUGGGAAGGCCCAGACAGCCAGGAUGUUGGCUUAGAAGCAGCCAUCAUUUAAAGAAAGCGUAAUAGCUCACUGGUCGAGUCGGCCUGCGCGGAAGAUGUAACGGGGCUAAACCAUGCACCGAAGCUGCGGCAGCGACGCUGAUGCGUUGUUGGGUA